This 253-nucleotide ribosomal RNA is filed under the name uncultured bacterium. Its description in RNAcentral is "partial 16S ribosomal RNA". It matches the Rfam family "Bacterial small subunit ribosomal RNA", at positions 524 to 776 of the family's 1533-position model. The record is from RNAcentral.
UACAGAGGUCUCAAGCGUUGUUCGGAUUCAUUGGGCGUAAAGGGUGCGUAGGCGGCGCGGUAAGUCGGGUGUGAAAUCUCGGGGCUUAACUCCGGAACUGCAUUCGAUACUGCCGUGCUUGAGGACUGGAGAGGAGACUGGAAUUUACGGUGUAGCGGUGAAAUGCGUAGAUAUCGUAAGGAAGACCAGUGGCGAAGGCGGGUCUCUGGACAGUUCCUGACGCUGAGGCACGAAGGCCAGGGGAGCAAACGGG